Molecule: long non-coding RNA, 1262 nt
Filed under: Sus scrofa (pig)
Lineage: Eukaryota; Metazoa; Chordata; Mammalia; Artiodactyla; Suidae
Description: lncRNA (ENSSSCG00030018615.1)
Source: RNAcentral
CUUUGCUUAUUUUUUUUUUCAAAGUCUGUGGAUGGAAAGGAACAAUUAAAGCAACUGAGGGAGUUCAUACCGUUUGUGGAAAGCAGUUUGGAUCGGGAAAAGAAGAAAACUGAUGGAUUAGAAAAAGAGCUUACUGGAUUGAAGGAACGCUUGGAAAUGGCAAGAAGGGAAGUAAAUGAACAUGAAAAAGGAGAGCUUAGUGCCCAAGGUGUUGUAAAAAGCAGUCCAACUGAAAUGGAUAUUCAGAUAGAUACGCUAAAACAUAAGGUAAUUUGUAUUCAGUUUGGGGGCCCCAAAAACUCUUAAUUUGGGGAAUUAUAAAUCACUCAGUGCUUUGAGCAGUGAACCACAGAUUUUCCCUUUAGUUUUAUAGAUGUUACAUGAGUAAGACAGACACCUUUUUCCCUAUUCAAAAGAGCACACUGUUAGUUCCCUUCUGUCUUGAACCCUGGCCAGUGAUGUGAAGCUGAACAGCACACCAUUCCUGAUCCCAAAGCAUCAGCUAUUUUUUGAUAACAGCUUUAGUGAAAUAUAAAACGUUCAUGUAAAUUGUACCGUUCAGUGACAUAGAGUGUAUUCCUAGAGUUAUGCAGUUGUCAUCACAGUCAAUUUUAGAACAUUGUCAUCACCCAACAAAGAAACCCUAUACCUUCUAGCCAACACCCUGUGCCAGUGUCCCCUUCCCCACUCUUCCCAAACCUGGGGAACCACUACUCUCUUCCCUGUCUCUGUAAGAGGAUUUGCCUUUUCUGGGUGUUUCAUAUCAAUAGAAUCACACAAUGUUUUCAAGGUACAUCGAUUUUGUAGCAGGUAUCGGCACUUCAUUUCUUUUUAUUGCUGAACAUUACAACAUGUUAGGGACAGACCACAUUUAUUUAUCCAUUCAUCAGGUGCUAGACCUUUGAGCUGUUUCCACUUUUUGGCUAUUGUUAAUAAUGCCAGUGUGAACAUUUGUAAUAUAACAGCAGGUUUCGGUAUAAAUGCAUGUUUCCUUCCUUUUGGGACUAUAGUCAUGACUGGCCUUGCUGUAUCAUAUGGUAAUUGUUUAGCUUUUCGAGGAACUGCCAUACUGUUUUCCAGAGUGGCUGCACCAUUUUACAUUUUUAUCCAAAGUGUGUAAGCAUUUCAAUUUCUAUACAUGCUUGUCAACACUUACUGUGACCUGUUGUUUUGCUUAUAGCCAUCCUAGUAGGUGUGAAGUGGCCUCUCAUUGUGGUUUGGAUUUGCAUUUUUCUGAUGACUAAUAUUGUUAAGGAUCUCUU